UACAGAGGGGGCAAGCGUUAUUCGGAAUUAUUGGGCGUAAAGGGCGCGUAGGCGGCCUGGCAAGUGGAAGGUGAAAUCCCUCGGCUUAACCGAGGAACUGCCCUCCAAACUGCUUGGCUUGAGUCCGGGAGAGGUGAGUGGAAUUCCCGAGUGUAGCGGUGAAAUGCGUAGAUAUUGGGAGGAACACCAGUGGCGAAGGCGGCUCACUGGACCGGAACUGACGCCUGAGGCGCGAAAGCGUGGGGAGCAAACAGG
RNAcentral lists this ribosomal RNA (255 nucleotides) under uncultured bacterium. RNAcentral describes it as "partial 16S ribosomal RNA". It matches the Rfam family "Bacterial small subunit ribosomal RNA", at positions 524 to 776 of the family's 1533-position model. The record is from RNAcentral.